UACGUAGGGUGCAAGCGUUGUCCGGAAUUAUUGGGCGUAAAGAGCUUGUAGGCGGUUUGUCGCGUCUGCUGUGAAAUUUCGGGGCUCAACCCCGAACUUGCAGUGGGUACGGGCAGGCUAGAGUGUGGUAGGGGAGACUGGAAUUCCUGGUGUAGCGGUGAAAUGCGCAGAUAUCAGGAGGGACACCGAUGGCGAAGGCAGGUCUCUGGGCCACUACUGACGCUGAGAAGCGAAAGCAUGGGGAGCGAACAGG
Molecule: ribosomal RNA, 253 nt
Filed under: uncultured bacterium
Lineage: Bacteria
Description: partial 16S ribosomal RNA
Rfam family: Bacterial small subunit ribosomal RNA
Source: RNAcentral